AACGCACAUUGCGCCCCCUGGUAUUCCGGGGGGCAUGCCUGUCCGAGCGUCAUUGCAACCUUCAAGCGCGGCUUGUGUGUUGGGCCUCGUCCCCCGUGGACGGGCCCGAAAGGCAGUGGCGGCGCCCGAACCGGUGCCUGAGCGUAUGGGUAACCUUUCGCGCUCAGCAGGCCCGGAGCGGCGCUGGUCGUUAACCAAUCUUUUUACCGGUUGACCUCGGAUCAGGUAGGGAUACCCGCUGAACUUAA
This 248-nucleotide unclassified non-coding RNA is filed under the name uncultured Onygenales. RNAcentral's name for it is "sequence contains 5.8S rRNA gene, ITS2, 28S rRNA gene". The stretch from base 1 to 52 matches the Rfam family "5.8S ribosomal RNA", at positions 103 to 154 of the family's 154-position model. Lineage: Eukaryota; Fungi; Ascomycota; Eurotiomycetes; Onygenales. The record is from RNAcentral.